This 30-nucleotide non-coding RNA is filed under the name Mus musculus (house mouse). Lineage: Eukaryota; Metazoa; Chordata; Mammalia; Rodentia; Muridae. The record is from RNAcentral.
UAAAAAGACAUACUAAUCAUUGGGCUCUAC